CAAUAGCGUAUAUUAAAGUUGUUGCAGUUAAAAAGCUCGUAGUUGGAUUUCUGGCUGGAGCGAUCGGUCCGCCCCGCAAGGGGUGUGUACUAGCGUCGUCUCCGACCAUCCUUGUGGGAACUGUGCGGCCGUUAACUCGGUUGUAUAUGGGAACACAUCGUUUACUGUGAAAAAAUUAGAGUGUUUAAAGCAGGCUUAAGCCGUUGAAUACAUUAGCAUGGAAUAAUAAGAUAAGACUUGGGUCAUUAUUUUGUUGGUUUGCGGAUCGAGGUAAUGAUUAAUAGGGAUAGUUGGGGGUAUUCGUAUUCCGUUGUCAGAGGUGAAAUUCUUGGAUUUACGGAAGACGAACGACUGCGAAAGCAUUUACCAAGGAUGUUUUCAUUAAUCAAGAACGAAAGUUAGGGGAUCAAAGAUGAUUAGAUACCGU
This 427-nucleotide ribosomal RNA is filed under the name uncultured eukaryote. RNAcentral describes it as "bacterial SSU rRNA". It matches the Rfam family "Eukaryotic small subunit ribosomal RNA", at positions 592 to 1018 of the family's 1831-position model. The record is from RNAcentral.